CAGUCGAGGGGCAGCGGGGGUGAUGGCUUGCCAUCGCCUGCCGGCGACCGCGUCACGGGUGAGUAACACGUAUGCAACCUGCCCGCCACAGGGGGAUAAGCGGAAGAAAUUCCGUCUAAUACCGCGUGACGCGGCGCCGGGGCAUCCCGGUGCCGCCAAAGGGAUUACCGGUGGCGGAUGGGCAUGCGGCGCAUUAGCUAGUCGGCGGGGUAACGGCCCACCGAGGCGACGAUGCGUAGGGGUUCUGAGAGGAAGGUCCCCCACACUGGUACUGAGACACGGACCAGACUCCUACGGGAGGCAGCAGUGAGGAAUAUUGGUCAAUGGGCGGGAGCCUGAACCAGCCAAGUCGCGUGAGGGAUGACGGUCCUACGGAUUGUAAACCUCUUUUGCCGGGGAGCAAGCGUGCGUUCGUGAACGCGCGUCGAGAGUACCCGGAGAAAAAGCAUCGGCUAACUCCGUGCCAGCAGCCGCGGUAAUACGGAGGAUGCGAGCGUUAUCCGGAUUUAUUGGGUUUAAAGGGUGCGUAGGCGGGAUGCCAAGUCAGCGGUAAAAAUGCGGUGCUCAACGCCGUCGAGCCGUUGAAACUGGCGUUCUUGAGUGGGCGAGAAGUAUGCGGAAUGCGUGGUGUAGCGGUGAAAUGCAUAGAUAUCACGCAGAACUCCGAUUGCGAAGGCAGCAUACCGGCGCCCUACUGACGCUGAGGCACGAAAGCGUGGGUAUCGAACA
Molecule: ribosomal RNA, 729 nt
Filed under: uncultured bacterium
Lineage: Bacteria
Description: bacterial SSU rRNA
Rfam family: Bacterial small subunit ribosomal RNA
Source: RNAcentral